This 445-nucleotide long non-coding RNA is filed under the name Equus caballus (horse). RNAcentral's name for it is "lncRNA (ENSECAG00000053601.1)". The record is from RNAcentral. Lineage: Eukaryota; Metazoa; Chordata; Mammalia; Perissodactyla; Equidae.
GGGAGGGGCUGUCUUGGAUUAAACCCCUUUUGCCAGAGAACCCUGGAGAUUCAGGCCCAAGCCUGGAGAAUGGAGGUGCUGUUCUGCUUUCCCUUGUCUCUGGUGCUCCGUCCAGGACCCCGAGGGGAGGAGGUGUGGCUGGACUAAGGCCGAGGUCAGGCACCUCCGGAGUUCCUGCCAGCACAGCCAGAUGAUGACCUCCAGCCUGAGCACAAAAGCCUGCCUCCCAAGAGUGGAUCCCGGGCCAGAAGAGAUGCAGCUUCAACUCGUAAAGAAGAAAAGAGACCCCACAGUCACUCAGAGAGGCAGCGACUUCAUCUGCAGCCGAGGCCCAGUGACUCGGACCUGGGAAUUCGUAAACAUGAAAUCCAGGGAAGAUGUGUGAUCACCACUGCUCUCUUAGAGACAUCAGAGAACUGUGUCCUGCUCAAGACAAGAAGGCAAG